Molecule: non-coding RNA, 91 nt
Organism: Mycena metata
Lineage: Eukaryota; Fungi; Basidiomycota; Agaricomycetes; Agaricales; Mycenaceae
Source: the annotation of a GenBank genome assembly
GGCCAGGUAGCGGAGUGGUAACGCAUGCGAAAUGAAUAGAGUGUCUGCAAUGUUUCCUCGCAAGGUCUCUGUUCGAUUCGGACUUUGGCCA